GAUUCUGCCCUACGGGGAAGGAUGAGAAGCUUCGACUAAGGUUCGACUCGAGCGCCAGCGAGAGAACGUUGCUGCAGGCAACGGCCCGAAGGGCGAGGAGCGAUAGCGACGAGUUAUCCUUCCCCCACCACCA
RNAcentral lists this small RNA (133 nucleotides) under Klebsiella variicola. RNAcentral's name for it is "RtT sRNA". It matches the Rfam family "RtT RNA". Rfam says of the family: This family represents a bacterial cis-regulatory element known as RtT RNA. The exact function of RtT is unknown although it is thought that it may be involved in changing the cellular response in relation to amino acid starvation. RNAcentral also lists the same sequence under 1 other name. Lineage: Bacteria; Pseudomonadati; Pseudomonadota; Gammaproteobacteria; Enterobacterales; Enterobacteriaceae. The record is from RNAcentral.